RNAcentral lists this ribosomal RNA (253 nucleotides) under uncultured bacterium. Its description in RNAcentral is "partial 16S ribosomal RNA". It matches the Rfam family "Bacterial small subunit ribosomal RNA", at positions 524 to 776 of the family's 1533-position model. The record is from RNAcentral.
UACGGGGGGGGCAAGCGUUGUUCGGAAUUACUGGGCGUAAAGGGCUCGUAGGUGGCCAACUAAGUCGGACGUGAAAUCCCUCGGCUUAACCGGGGAACUGCGUCCGAUACUGGUUGGCUUGAGUUUGGGAGAGGGAUGCGGAAUUCCAGGUGUAGCGGUGAAAUGCGUAGAUAUCUGGAGGAACACCGGUGGCGAAGGCGGCAUCCUGGACCAUAACUGACGCUGAGGCGCGAAAGCUAGGGGAGCAAACGGG